Molecule: long non-coding RNA, 1136 nt
Filed under: Salmo trutta (river trout)
Lineage: Eukaryota; Metazoa; Chordata; Actinopteri; Salmoniformes; Salmonidae
Description: lncRNA (ENSSTUG00000009166.1)
Source: RNAcentral
AUGCCGAAACGUAGGGUUACGUGGGGUGGAAAACUGCCAUCACCUGCCUUCCACCAUGCUGGAGAAUCUGACCUAAGCUUUGCUGAGCCUUUUUUCAAAAAAAGAAAGGCUGAUAUGUCUGUCUUGACAGAGCAGAAUGAAGAUGGCGAUGAGUUUGAUUCUACCUUUGACAUGGAGAUGAACCAGAGCAAUCUGACUGUGCGUGGUUUUGCAGAAAGGUGAACAUGGAUUAUUGCCAUUUUAUCUUUACACAUUCCUUACUGCUUGUUGUCCUUCAUACUCAUGUUCUUGCAUUCUCUUAUUUUCUAGUGAAUUUUUAUCUCCAAACCAACUGAACAAAUUGUCUGAGAAGGUGUCCUGCCUGGAGCUCCAGCUGGAAAAUGAGACUCAGCAGAAGCAGGAGGCCAUGGAGGAAGUGGAGACUUUUCAGAGGAGGGUUGCAGAACUGGAGAAGCAGCUAGAAGGAAAGUCACUAAUGCCUGCUGAUGCACAGCUGGAAAAGGAGACUCAGCAGAACCAGGAAGACAUGGAGGAAGUGGAGACUUUUGAGAUGAAGGUUGCUGAACUGGAGAAGCAGUUAGAAAAGUCUCAAAUGCCUGCUGAUGCACAGGAGCAGGUUGGUGAUCACCAAUUCCUUCUCACUGUUUUAUUGUGCAGAAUAUUGAAUCCUUUAAUCUAAAUGCAAAAAAUGUAUAACUCAUUUUUUUACAGAUGAAAAAGGGAUUUGAAGAGACCAUUCAACUCUGUGAGACGUUGGUGUCUGAGAAGGAAAUGGUUGCUACUGAGCGUGAUUAUCUCAAGCAGGAGCUCAACAUCCUAAUGGAACAGACUGAAAACUUGAAAAAAGAAAAGGCUGCACUUCUUCAGGAGAUGGAGGAGAAGAAAGAGAUGGAUGAGUUCAAUUCUUUGGAAGAGGAGAGCAAAAGAGAAUAUGAGGUUAUAGACUGCUGCAUAGAUUGCCUAGAGAUGUCAAAGUUUUAUAACUUAUUUCAAUGUAGUAAUUAAAAUUGGAAUGGGCUAUGUAUGGUAUAAGCCAAUUGCAAGCACAUAAAUAUAUCUUAGGGCCUUUUUAGAAGUCAUUAAGAUGACUAGCACUUCUGAAAUGCUCCCUUGUUGGUUUGUAGCUUUGCACUCAU